Molecule: ribosomal RNA, 433 nt
Filed under: uncultured bacterium
Lineage: Bacteria
Description: partial 16S ribosomal RNA
Rfam family: Bacterial small subunit ribosomal RNA
Source: RNAcentral
AACGAACGCUGGCGGCAUGCCUAACACAUGCAAGUCGAACGAGACCUUCGGGUCUAGUGGCGCACGGGUGCGUAACGCGUGGGAACCUGCCCUUAGGUUCGGAAUAACUCCCCGAAAGGGGUGCUAAUACCGGAUAAUGUCUUCGGACCAAAGAUUUAUCGCCUUUGGAUGGGCCCGCGUUGGUUUAGCUUGUUGGGAGGGUAAAAGCCUACCAAGGCGACGAUCCAUAGCUGGUCUGAGAGGAUGAUCAGCCACUCUGGGACUGAGACACGGCCCAGACUCCUACGGGAGGCAGCAGUGGGUAAUAUUGGACUAUGGGCGAAAGCCUGAUCCAGCAAUGCCGCGUGAGUGAUGAAGUCCUUAGGGUUGUAAAGCUCUUUUACCCGGGAUGAUAAUGACAGUACCGGGAGAAUAAGCUCCGGCUAACUCCGUG